AACCUUGUAGUGAAAUUCACGUCAGACUGCAAAUCUGUAGAUACACUUUAAUUGGUGUCUUGGUUU
This 66-nucleotide transfer RNA is filed under the name Palea steindachneri (wattle-necked softshell turtle). RNAcentral's name for it is "tRNA-Cys". Lineage: Eukaryota; Metazoa; Chordata; Testudines; Trionychidae. The record is from RNAcentral.